This 67-nucleotide transfer RNA is filed under the name Paratriatoma lecticularia. RNAcentral's name for it is "tRNA-Leu". The record is from RNAcentral. Lineage: Eukaryota; Metazoa; Arthropoda; Insecta; Hemiptera; Reduviidae.
CUUAAUGUGGCAGAAUUAAAUGCAAUGAACUUAAGCUUCAUUUAUAAAGAAUCUUCUUUCAUUAAGA